GUGGGGAAUAUUGGACAAUGGGCGAAAGCCUGAUCCAGCCAUGCCGCGUGUGUGAAGAAGGUCUUCGGAUUGUAAAGCACUUUAAGUUGGGAGGAAGGGCAGUAAGUUAAUACCUUGCUGUUUUGACGUUACCGACAGAAUAAGCACCGGCUAACUUCGUGCCAGCAGCCGCGGUAAUACGAAGGGUGCAAGCGUUAAUCGGAAUUACUGGGCGUAAAGCGCGCGUAGGUGGUUUUGUAAGUUGGAGGUGAAAUCCCCGGGCUCAACCUGGGAACUGCCUCCAAAACUGCAUGACUAGAGUACGGUAGAGGGUAGUGGAAUUUCCUGUGUAGCGGUGAAAUGCGUAGAUAUAGGAAGGAACACCAGUGGCGAAGGCGACUACCUGGACUGAUACUGACACUGAGGUGCGAAAGCAUGGGGAUCAAACAGGAUUAGAACCCCCUGUAGUCC
RNAcentral lists this ribosomal RNA (450 nucleotides) under uncultured bacterium. RNAcentral describes it as "partial 16S ribosomal RNA". It matches the Rfam family "Bacterial small subunit ribosomal RNA", at positions 354 to 796 of the family's 1533-position model. The record is from RNAcentral.